UAACCGGCGAUACCCGAAUGGGGAAACCCAGUGUGACUCGUCACACUAUCAUUAACUGAAUCCAUAGGUUAAUGAGGCGAACCGGGGGAACUGAAACAUCUAAGUACCCCGAGGAAAAGAAAUCAACCGAGAUUCCCCCAGUAGCGGCGAGCGAACGGGGAGGAGCCCAGAGCCUGAAUCAGCAUGUGUGUUAGUGGAAGCGUCUGGAAAGGCGCGCGAUACAGGGUGACAGCCCCGUACACAAAAGCGCAUGUGCUGUGAGCUCGAUGAGUAGGGCGGGACACGUGGUAUCCUGUCUGAAUAUGGGGGGACCAUCCUCCAAGGCUAAAUACUCCUGACUGACCGAUAGUGAACCAGUACCGUGAGGGAAAGGCGAAAAGAACCCCGGCGAGGGGAGUGAAAAAGAACCUGAAACCGUGUACGUACAAGCAGUGGGAGCCCCACCACCAAAGCAUUUGCUGUACCGCGUUGACGGAGCGAAGCGACGUCAAACCGAUAAAACAGCAGUGUAAAGUGAGCCGCAGGGCGCUUUGCGCGACAGCGCAAAGGCAGGCGGUUUCGCGUAGCGAAAGCGAAUGCUUUGGGGUGGGGUGACUGCGUACCUUUUGUAUAAUGGGUCAGCGACUUAUAUUCUGUAGCAAGGUUAACCGAAUAGGGGAGCCGGAGGGAAACCGAGUCUUAAUUGGGCGUUAAGUUGCAGGGUAUAGACCCGAAACCCGGUGAUCUAGCCAUGGGCAGGUUGAAGGUUGGGUAACACUAACUGGAGGACCGAACCGACUAAUGUUGAAAAAUUAGCGGAUGACCUGUGGCUGGGGGUGAAAGGCCAAUCAAACCGGGAGAUAGCUGGUUCUCCCCGAAAGCUAUUUAGGUAGCGCCUCGUGAAUUCAUCUCCGGGGGUAGAGCACUGUUUCGGCUAGGGGGCCAUCCCGGCUUACCAACCCGAUGCAAACUGCGAAUACCGGAGAAUGUUAUCACGGGAGACACACGGCGGGUGCUAACGUCCGUCGUGAAGAGGGAAACAACCCAGACCGCCAGCUAAGGUCCCAAAGUCAUGGUUAAGUGGGAAACGAUGUGGGAAGGCCCAGACAGCCAGGAUGUUGGCUUAGAAGCAGCCAUCAUUUAAAGAAAGCGUAAUAGCUCACUGGUCGAGUCGGCCUGCGCGGAAGAUGUAACGGGGCUAAACCAUGCACCGAAGCUGCGGCAGCGACACUGUGUGUUGUUGGGUAGGGGAGCGUUCUGUAAGCCUGUGAAGGUGUGUCGUGAGGCAUGCUGGAGGUAUCAGAAGUGCGAAUGCUGACAUAAGUAACGAUAAAGCGGGUGAAAAGCCCGCUCGCCGGAAGACCAAGGGUUCCUGUCCAACGUUAAUCGGGGCAGGGUGAGUCGACCCCUAAGGCGAGGCCGAAAGGCGUAGUCGAUGGGAAACGGGUUAAUAUUCCCGUACUUGGUGUUACUGCGAAGGGGGGACGGAGAAGGCUAUGUUGGCCGGG
Molecule: ribosomal RNA, 1487 nt
Filed under: Salmonella enterica
Lineage: Bacteria; Pseudomonadati; Pseudomonadota; Gammaproteobacteria; Enterobacterales; Enterobacteriaceae
Also listed under: 1 other name
Description: partial 23S ribosomal RNA
Rfam family: Bacterial large subunit ribosomal RNA
Source: RNAcentral